GAUGAACGCUGGCGGCGUGCCUAAUACAUGCAAGUAGAACGCUGAAGCUUGGUGCUUGCACCGAGCGGAUGAGUUGCGAACGGGUGAGUAACGCGUAGGUAACCUGCCUCUUAGCGGGGGAUAACUAUUGGAAACGAUAGCUAAUACCGCAUAAAAGUCGACAUCGCAUGAUGUUGACUUGAAAGGUGCAAUUGCAUCACUAAGAGAUGGACCUGCGUUGUAUUAGCUAGUUGGUGAGGUAACGGCUCACCAAGGCGACGAUACAUAGCCGACCUGAGAGGGUGAUCGGCCACACUGGGACUGAGACACGGCCCAGACUCCUACGGGAGGCAGCAGUAGGGAAUCUUCGGCAAUGGGGGCAACACUGACCGAGCAACGCCGCGUGAGUGAAGAAGGUUUUCGGAUCGUAAAGCUCGGUUGUAAGAGAAGAACGAGUGUGAGAGUGGAAAGUUCACACUGUGACGGUAACUUAACAGAAAGGGACGGCUAACUACGUG
Molecule: ribosomal RNA, 497 nt
Filed under: uncultured bacterium
Lineage: Bacteria
Description: partial 16S ribosomal RNA
Rfam family: Bacterial small subunit ribosomal RNA
Source: RNAcentral